GCAGUACUACUGAACACAACCCUCAUCCAACUCAUGGAGAAUGGAGACCUUAAAGAUCAUAACCAUCAUCCAAACUGUUGCUUUAAUACAAGGAUACGACAGUCUCAUCUCUACUGAGCCUCCGGAGGUCAGGGUCAAUGUUAAACUUGUGUCACAAGCAGAUCAGGGAUCUGGCUCGUGCUCCUGGACCCUCAGCACCUCUUCAGUUAUAGCCGUGGAAGAUAUUAACCGUCUCUCCUCUCAGAUCUGUCUGUCUCUGGGAUGUGGUGAUGUGUAUAAAUUAAGGGAAUAUGAUGCAGAAUUCAACAGUACCUGUCUCACAGGCUGCCUUUACCGUGACUCUGAGCUAAGCAACUGCAGUCAGACUGUGAGAAGCCACUGCAGG
This 385-nucleotide long non-coding RNA is filed under the name Sinocyclocheilus anshuiensis. RNAcentral's name for it is "lncRNA (ENSSANG00000048950.1)". The record is from RNAcentral. Lineage: Eukaryota; Metazoa; Chordata; Actinopteri; Cypriniformes; Cyprinidae.